AGAGUUUGAUCCUGGCUCAGAACGAACGCUGGCGGCGCGUCUUAAGCAUGCAAGUCGAGCGGUAAGUUGUAGCUUGCUACAACCUAGAGCGGCGGACUGGUGAGUAACGCGUGGGUGACGUACCCUUUUGACGGGGAUAGCCUGUGGAAACACAGGGUAAUACCGGAUAAGCUGUUAUGUGUCAGAGGCAUAACAGGAAAGGUUCUUUUGAACCGCGAAAGGAACGGCCCGCGUGCUAUUAGUUAGUUGGCGGGGUAACGGCCCACCAAGACGACGAUAGCUACCCGGCCUAAGAGGGUGAACGGGCACAUUGGGACUGAGAUACGGCCCAGACUCCUACGGGAGGCAGCAGCUAAGAAUAUUCCGCAAUGGACGAAAGUCUGACGGAGCGACGCCGCGUGGAUGAUGAAGGCCGGAAGGUUGUAAAAUCCUUUUGGAAGCGAGGAAUAAGAGAGGUGAGAGAAACGCCUCAUGGUGACGGUAGCUUCUGAAUAAGCAACGGCUAAUUACGUGCCAGCAGCCGCGGUAACACGUAAGUUGCGAGCGUUGUUCGGAAUUAUUGGGCGUAAAGGGCAUGUAGGCGGUAAUGCAAGUCU
This 596-nucleotide ribosomal RNA is filed under the name uncultured bacterium. Its description in RNAcentral is "bacterial SSU rRNA". It matches the Rfam family "Bacterial small subunit ribosomal RNA", at positions 8 to 590 of the family's 1533-position model. The record is from RNAcentral.